Molecule: long non-coding RNA, 2242 nt
Organism: Vicia villosa (hairy vetch)
Lineage: Eukaryota; Viridiplantae; Streptophyta; Magnoliopsida; Fabales; Fabaceae
Exons: 4
Source: RefSeq, a predicted model, not a curated record
UUUCCCUUGUUUCACAAAACGCUAACCCUUCCUCGUGAACUCAACCUUCUUCUCUCGUGCCGCUCGCUUCCCCUUUUGCUCUUCUUCUUCGUAAAACAAAAUGAACCAUGACACCCUCUCCGUUUCUGAUCAGAAUGCCGCCGUGAUUCGAGUUCUGACCAACUCCGUUCGUUGGCUUCGACGCCUCUCUCCAUCUUCGAUUCUGCUUCACCCAUAGUCGUCACAAAUCUCGUCCUCUUCGUCCAUUCGUUGUGGAUUUCUCUUCUGCAAUUCCGAGGAAGAUGUAGAUCGUGGUUGCUCGGUUUACGUUUGGGUCGCAAGCGAAAUGCGAAGAUAACGAUGAUAUUGUUGAAGGUUCUUACGAUCGAAGCUCAAAGUGUUGAAGAAGCAGAGAGUCCUCUUUGAAUCUUCUGUUCUUGAGAGAAUUGAGCCGGUGAUGGUUCUUCUUGUUGAUAAGGAAAAGGGUUACAUCGAUCUCAGUAAACGUAGGAUUUCUGAAGAAGAUAUUCAAGCUUGUGAAGAAAGGCAUAAUAACAGUAAACCUUGAACCUCGAUUUAGAGAUCUUUAUCUUGAAAAAAGAUGGCAGCAGAGUUAGUCAUUGGUGCAACAAGCGACAAAUGAUCUGAAACGGAUUGGACGAAAAAUAUUGAAAUAUAUGAGUUGGUUGCACGUGAUAAAAGGUACGACAAAGCUGUCAUAUGGUUAAUUGGUUAUGUUCCUUUCUGAUCGAUCAAUGUUGUAAAACGUCAGGAAAUAUGUUGUUGAUGUUGAUUGUAUAUUAGGAUAAUCAUGCUAGUUCACAGCCUAGUAGGACUGGUAGUGUACCAAACAGGUAGUAGGCUUCACCUAGACAUGAUUUCUGUAACUUUGUAGGACCUUUCAACAAUUUUUGAUGCUCCUGAUCCAACUGGUCUUAAUCUUCUAACGGUGAGUUUCAUUUUUUCCCUAAUUUUUGGUUGAAGAUCCUUAGGUUUUACUGCACUGCAUUUGCCACACCAUGCUUUGAGGGUGCUGCAAUAAUUCUCCCUUAUUUAUUAUAGAAUAUAUCCUAAUUGAAUAUGAAUGCAUUUACAACAUUAAGUUGAAAUCGCUUGUAUAUUUUCAUGGAAGGUGAACUGGGGUUGGUGUUACAAGCGUAGCACAGAACAUCUUUAAUGCUUUAUCUAAGAUGCUGAGGGACCCGCUGCCUAUGUCACAUGACACACUAAAAUUAAACUAAGCACAAUUAGCCAUAGAAGAAAAACAAUACUGAAAAUAUGGCCUAUAAGAUUAAGAAGCAAGUGUUGUAUCAAUUUCAAUUUAGAUCACAUUUUCACUAUACUAACUUCCAGAACUAUAAUUUAUAUUAUACUGAGACAUUUUUGUAUUUUUACUUUAAGAAAAUACUCUUAAACCAAGACCAACUUAUCUGUUUCUAUUCUCUAGAGCUAAUUUAAAAUGAGUUUGGUUAAUAUUAUUUAUUUAAUAUGUAACAAAAUCAAGACCAGUAACAAUAUUGUGUCAUUUUAGCUAGACAAAUUAGCAAAUGGAAAGAUGAAUUAUUUCUACAAUACACUAAUUGUUAGCUAUUUUGUCUUUUUGCAUUAUAAAGAAAUCUACUUGCAAAAAAUAUCCAAUUUAUUGAUAAAUAAAUUUAGAACACAUUUUCCUAUAUACCAAAAGAUCAUGUACCUAAAUCUUAUAGAACUAUUUCUCAUUACUUAAUUGGUACUUUCACAAAACUUCUCUAUUGUUCUAAAAAGACAGAAAACACUCCCUUUUUCUCUUGAAGGAUAUUUCUUCUGUGUGUAAGGUACGGGGUUUAUAGAAGCAAAGAAGAUGGAUUUGUGACAAAAGAUCCCUUCGAAAGUAUCCAAGGUAGAACAUAUUAUUAGAGAGCAGAACAUGAUAGAAAAAGUGAUUUACGUUCAAGCUAGCCAUUGGUUAAAAAUGAUGCCUUACAAAAUUGACUAAAUAGUAACUCGGGAAUGAUGUAUUUGUUUUAUAACAACAAUACAAAAUGCACUUUGUUUAUGUUGGUGUUUGGUUAGUAACUACUAAUGUUCUUUCCCACUAUUGAAAUAAACUAUUAUAAGCUCUCUGUGAUAGGUUAUGAAAACAUCUUGUAACUUUAUUUUAAAACUUAUAUAUAGAACCUUACUCUCUUUGGUUACUAUAAUAAAGGGCUUAUAUAUUGCUUUCAUGAGAUUGGAUUCCAAAUUUUGAAAGUCUUAUAAUGUUUACUGUUGUACAUCUCACUUU